CGCCUCUAGAUUAUUACAUUAAAGGUCCAUCCUGCCCAAUGACAAAGUUAAAUGGCCGCGGUACCCUGACCGUGCUAAGGUAGCAUAAUCAUUUGCCUCUUAAUUGGUGGCUAGUAUGAAUGGACACACGCAAGUACCCCUGUCUCAUUAGUAUAUAUAAAAAUUACCACUCAGGUGAAGAGGCCUGAAUAAAAUAAAAAGACAAAAAGACCCUAUGGAGCUUUAUUUAACACCCUAAUAUCACCAGCUUACACCACCCUACCUUAGGAAAAUAAAUUUAGUUGGGGCGACUAAGGAAAACCAUAAAUCUUCCUAAAAAAAAAGAAAAUAAUUCCUCAUUGAUCCGUUACACGAAUAAAGACACAGCUACCCUAGGGAUAACAGGCUAAUUCUUCUCGAGAGCCCAAAUUGACAGAAGAGAUUGGCACCUCGAUGUUGGCUUAGGGUUCCUACAGGGUGCAGAAGCCCUGUAAG
RNAcentral lists this ribosomal RNA (474 nucleotides) under Laonice sp. H GT-2019. Its description in RNAcentral is "partial 16S ribosomal RNA". It matches the Rfam family "Bacterial large subunit ribosomal RNA", at positions 1829 to 2570 of the family's 2925-position model. The record is from RNAcentral. Lineage: Eukaryota; Metazoa; Annelida; Polychaeta; Spionida; Spionidae.